RNAcentral lists this ribosomal RNA (497 nucleotides) under uncultured bacterium. Its description in RNAcentral is "partial 16S ribosomal RNA". It matches the Rfam family "Bacterial small subunit ribosomal RNA", at positions 28 to 507 of the family's 1533-position model. The record is from RNAcentral.
GAUGAACGCUGGCGGCGUGCCUAAUACAUGCGAGUCGAGUGAACGGACGAGAAGCUUGCUUCUCUGAUGUUAGCGGCGGACGGGUGAGUAACACGUGGAUAACCUACCUAUAAGACUGGGAUAACUUCGGGAAACCGGAGCUAAUACCGGAUAAUAUUUUGAACCGCAUGGUUCAAAAGUGGAAGACGGUCUUGCUGUCACUUAUAGAUGGAUCCGCGCUGCAUUAGCUAGUUGGUAAGGUAACGGCUUACCAAGGCAACGAUGCAUAGCCGACCUGAGAGGGUGAUCGGCCACACUGGAACUGAGACACGGUCCAGACUCCUACGGGAGGCAGCAGUAGGGAAUCUUCCGCAAUGGGCGAAAGCCUGACGGAGCAACGCCGCGUGAGUGAUGAAGGUCUUCGGAUCGUAAAACUCUGUUAUUAGGGAAGAACAUAUGUGUAAGUAACUGUGCACAUCUUGACGGUACCUAAUCAGAAAGCCACGGCUAACUACGUG